This 492-nucleotide ribosomal RNA is filed under the name uncultured bacterium. RNAcentral's name for it is "partial 16S ribosomal RNA". It matches the Rfam family "Bacterial small subunit ribosomal RNA", at positions 29 to 507 of the family's 1533-position model. The record is from RNAcentral.
AGUGAACGCUGGCGGUAGGCCUAACACAUGCAAGUCGAACAGCAGCACAGUAAGAGCUUGCUCUUACGGGUGGCGAGUGGCGGACGGGUGAGGAAUACAUCGGAAUCUACUUUUUCGUGGGGGAUAACGUAGGGAAACUUACGCUAAUACCGCAUACGACCUACGGGUGAAAGCAGGGGAUCUUCGGACCUUGCGCGAUUGAAUGAGCCGAUGUCGGAUUAGCUAGUUGGCGGGGUAAAGGCCCACCAAGGCGACGAUCCGUAGCUGGUCUGAGAGGAUGAUCAGCCACACUGGAACUGAGACACGGUCCAGACUCCUACGGGAGGCAGCAGUGGGGAAUAUUGGACAAUGGGCGCAAGCCUGAUCCAGCCAUACCGCGUGGGUGAAGAAGGCCUUCGGGUUGUAAAGCCCUUUUGUUGGGAAAGAAAAGCAGCAGGCUAAUACCCCGCUGUUCUGACGGUACCCAAAGAAUAAGCACCGGCUAACUUCGUG